AAGGCCAUAUUGGAGAUUAGGGUUAGUUUUUUAGAGCCAUUUGAGCUUUGAAGGCUAGUUUCAACAAUUUUAGAUUUUUGGCUAUAGUUUUGGUAUAAGUUUUGUAUUAUUUGGAGUUUAUAUGAAGGAGAUAUAGGCGCUCAAAGUUAAGGUGUUGAUUUGGGAGCUACUGUCACUCUUUUUGGCAUAACACAUGCGUACAAAGGGUAAUUGAGGAUCGGCGACAACGACUAGAGAGAACACUUUUGCGGCUACACUUCUUGUAUUCCAAGUUAUAGUGAAAGAGUUAUUAGAUUUUGAAGUCAGCACAUGCAAUCUAAGGGUAGUAAGUGACCCAAUUUAUUAGUGGUUGUGUCUUGAGCUAUAUCUUGAGCAAUUUGACAAGUUUUUGGCUCAAAAUUUCAGAGAAUGUGUAAUUUUAUAUUGAUAAACUUUUUACAUAAGUUUUAUGACAUUUGAGUAUUGGAUUCUUAAGAUAUUAAGAAAAUAAAGCUCAAAUGCUUGUAAAUUAGGAUUUAGAGCAUCUACUAGGGUUUCUUAGAUGUCAAAAGAUCGAUAGUGAAUUUACAAUUGAUUUUUUUUGUCAUAAAAGUUAAGAGUGAAUUCUACCUAUCCUAUAGAUUUGAAACAAACUAAAUUGGUAGAUCAAUAGUUAUGAAUUUUUAAAGUUUGGAAUAAGAAAAUCCUUGGCGAGAAAAAUAUGUUUUGAAGGGAUUUUAUUAUAUUUUGAGUUUUAUGCAAAAUAAAGGAGUUUUGAGAGGCUAAGAAAAGAUUCAUAUAAAGAUUUAAGCUAAAAUCUGUAUAGCU
This 807-nucleotide long non-coding RNA is filed under the name Physcomitrium patens. Its description in RNAcentral is "long non-coding RNA (PPAT_LNC002848)". The record is from RNAcentral. Lineage: Eukaryota; Viridiplantae; Streptophyta; Bryopsida; Funariales; Funariaceae.